GUUGUAGCUCAGUGGUAGUGCACUUGCCCAGAACGCAUGAGGCACUGGGUUCCAUCCUUAGCACCACA
RNAcentral lists this transfer RNA (68 nucleotides) under Marmota monax (woodchuck). RNAcentral describes it as "tRNA.Ser". Lineage: Eukaryota; Metazoa; Chordata; Mammalia; Rodentia; Sciuridae. The record is from RNAcentral.